GAUGAACGCUGGCGGCGUGCUUAACACAUGCAAGUCGAGCGAAGCACUUAUGAAGAUUCUUCGGAUGAAUCAUUUGUGACUGAGCGGCGGACGGGUGAGUAACGCGUGAGUAACCUGCCUUAUACAGGGGAAUAACAGUUAGAAAUGACUGCUAAUGCCGCAUCAGCGCACAGGACCGCAUGGUCCGGUGUGAAAAACUCCGGUGGUAUGAGAUGGCCUGGCGUCUGAUUAGCUGGUUGGUGAGGUAACGGCCCACCAAGGCGACGAUCAGUAGCCGGCCUGAGAGGGUGAACGGCCACAUUGGGACUGAGACACGGCCCAAACUCCUACGGGAGGCAGCAGUGGGGAAUAUUGCACAAUGGGGGAAACCCUGAUGCAGCGACGCCGCGUGAGUGAAGAAGUAUUUCGGUAUGUAAAGCUCUAUCAGCAGGGAAGAAAAUGACGGUACCUGACUAAGAAGCCCCGGCUAACUACGUGCCAGCCGCCGCCGUAA
This 493-nucleotide ribosomal RNA is filed under the name uncultured bacterium. RNAcentral describes it as "partial 16S ribosomal RNA". It matches the Rfam family "Bacterial small subunit ribosomal RNA", at positions 28 to 523 of the family's 1533-position model. The record is from RNAcentral.